Molecule: ribosomal RNA, 547 nt
Filed under: uncultured bacterium
Lineage: Bacteria
Description: bacterial SSU rRNA
Rfam family: Bacterial small subunit ribosomal RNA
Source: RNAcentral
UGGGGAAUAUUGCGCAAUGGGGGGAACCCUGACGCAGCCAUGCCACGUGAAUGAAGAAGGCCUUAGGGUUGUAAAGUUCUUUCGGUAUUGAGGAAGGUUGAUGUGUUAAUAGCACAUCAAAUUGACGUUAAAUACAGAAGAAGCACCGGCUAACUCCGUGCCAGCAGCCGCGGUAAUACGGAGGGUGCGAGCGUUAAUCGGAAUAACUGGGCGUAAAGGGCACGCAGGCGGUUAUUUAAGUGAGGUGUGAAAGCCCCGGGCUUAACCUGGGAAUUGCAUUUCAGACUGGGUAACUAGAGUACUUUAGGGAGGGGUAGAAUUCCACGUGUAGCGGUGAAAUGCGUAGAGAUGUGGAGGAAUACCGAAGGCGAAGGCAGCCCCUUGGGAAUGUACUGACGCUCAUGUGCGAAAGCGUGGGGAGCAAACAGGAUUAGAUACCCUGGUAGUCCACGCUGUAAACGCUGUCGAUUUGGGGGUUGGGGUUUAACUCUGGCGCCCGUAGCUAACGUGAUAAAUCGACCGCCUGGGGAGUACGGCCACAAGGUUA